RNAcentral lists this long non-coding RNA (1377 nucleotides) under Salmo salar (Atlantic salmon). RNAcentral describes it as "lncRNA (ENSSSAG00000107866.1)". Lineage: Eukaryota; Metazoa; Chordata; Actinopteri; Salmoniformes; Salmonidae. The record is from RNAcentral.
AUUGUUUAUUUCACUUUUGUUUAUUAUCUACUUCACAAUGUUAACAUAUGUUUCCCAUGCAAAUAAAGACCUUUGAAUUGAAAUUGAAUUGAGAGAAAGGACGAGAGAGGGUGUGUGUGUGCGCGUGUGUGUGUGUGUGUGUGUGUGGGGCAGACAGAGGGUGUCCAGUGUUUUUUCCAGUAACUGCUGCUUGUAUGUGGGCAGUGGCAGGAAACAUUAUGCUCAUUUCACAGCAGACUGAGGUGUGUGUGUGUUAGUGUGUGUGUGUGAUGGGGGUGGGGGAUGAGCUGCAAUACAUCUAGGUCAUUGGAAUGUAUUUGAGUGUGUCUGUGUGUGACUGUGUGUGUGUGUGGUGUAUUUAUGCAUGUGUUCCAUAUUAGUGAUAGUGUGUGUGUGUGUGUGUACGUGCAUGUAUAAGUGUGAGUUGAGUUUUACAUAGAAAAGUAGAGUAGCUCUCAACUAAGGUGUGCUAGACUGUUCUCUGUGUGUGUGUGUGCGUGUGCGUGUGUGUGUGUACACUGUAUAUGUGUUCAAGGUAUUACCUUCCUAAUAUUGAGUUGCUCUCCUUUUUGCCCUCAGAACAGCCUCAAUUCAUCAGGGCAUGGACUCUACAAGGUGUCAAAUGUUCCACAGGGAUACUGGCCCAUGUUUGACUCGAACGUUCCCCACAGUUGUGUCAAAUUGGCUGGAUGACCUUUGGGUGGUGGACCAUUCUUGAUACACACGGGAAAAACCCAGCAGCGUUGCAGUUCUUGACAGACACCAGUGCGUCUGGCACCUAUUACCAUACCCCAUUCAAAGGCACUUACAUCUUUUGUCUUGCCCAUUCACCCUCUGAAUGGCACACACACACACACACGAUCCAAGUCUCAAUCGUCUCACGGCUUAUAAAUCCUUCUUUAACCUGUCUCCUCCCCUUCAUCUACACCGAUUGAAGUGGAUUUAACAAGUGACAUCAAUAAGGGUUCAUAGCUUUCACCUGGAUUCACAUGGUCAGUCUAUGUCAUGGAAAGAGCAGGUGUUCUUAAUGUUUUGUACACUCAGUGUGCGUAUCCUUGGAGCAAGCAGACCCUAGCCAUACACUGUAGAACAUCUAAUUGGCCCUCUCUAACACACACACACACAAAAUCAUACAUUUAUGCACCAAAAACCCUCUGACACAGAAACGUUUCCUGUGUGCCUGCCCAUACAAGCAGUGCUUCCUGAAAAAAAAGCACUGGACACACACACACACACACACACACACACACACACACACACACACUAUAUUGCUCUCUCGCUACAACACUGGCACCAAUUAUCCUCUCUGACUGGAGUGUUUUGAUGGUGUAAUUGUCACGGACAGAGAGGAGAGCGGGAUGGAGGGAUGUAGAGAGG